Molecule: non-coding RNA, 206 nt
Filed under: Pediococcus argentinicus
Lineage: Bacteria; Bacillati; Bacillota; Bacilli; Lactobacillales; Lactobacillaceae
Description: T-box sequence
Rfam family: T-box leader
About the family: Uncharged tRNA acts as the effector for transcription antitermination of genes in the T-box leader family. T-boxes are found upstream of many aminoacyl-tRNA synthetase genes and some amino acid biosynthetic genes usually in Gram-positive bacteria. The anticodon of a specific tRNA base pairs to a specifier sequence within the T-box motif, and the NCCA acceptor tail of the tRNA base pairs to a conserved bulge in the T-box antiterminator hairpin.
Source: RNAcentral
AUACAGCUAGUAACAAAGAUUAGUAGCGAAUUAUCUUUCUGUCAGAAACCAAGUGGUAAUGCGAACUUGGAGAAGUAAUUUGUGAACUCACUUUGAAAGUUUAUUUCUGAAAUCAUAGUAGGAAGUAACGUUCUCCGCGUUAAGGAAUCAAGUGUGCAGGCAACUGCAAAUACUAGGUGGUACCGCGGAAUUUAUUCGUCCUAUGA